UACCGGCGGCCCGAGUGGCGGCCGUGUUUAUUGGGCCUAAAGGGUCCGUAGCCGGCCCCGUAAGUCUCCCGGGAAAUCGGGCGGCUCAACCGUCCGCUUCCGGGAGAUACUGCGGGGCUAGGGACCGGGAGAGGCCGGGGGUACUCCCGGGGUAGGGGUAAAAUCCUAUAAUCCCGGGGGGACCACCUGUGGCGAAGGCGCCCGGCUGGAACGGGUCCGACGGUGAGGGACGAAAGCUGGGGGCACGAACCGG
Molecule: ribosomal RNA, 253 nt
Filed under: uncultured microorganism
Description: partial 16S ribosomal RNA
Rfam family: Archaeal small subunit ribosomal RNA
Source: RNAcentral